This 124-nucleotide ribosomal RNA is filed under the name uncultured eukaryote. Its description in RNAcentral is "partial 18S ribosomal RNA". It matches the Rfam family "Eukaryotic small subunit ribosomal RNA", at positions 1679 to 1801 of the family's 1831-position model. The record is from RNAcentral.
CUACUACCGAUCGAAUGGCUUGGUGAGAAGGUAGGAUUGAUGCGGGGAGGGCCUUGUGUCCUGCUUGCGGACAGAACACCUUCGAACUCGGCCAUUUAGAGGAAGUACAAGUCGUAACAAGGUU